CCUACGGGAGGCAGCAGUGGGGAAUCUUGCACAAUGGGGGAAAGCCUGAUGCAGCGACGCCGCGUGAGUGAAGAAGUUCUUCGUUAUGUAAAGCUCUAUCAGUAGGGAAGAAAAUGACGGUACGUGAGUAAGAAGCUCUUGCUAAAUACGUGCCAGCAGCCGCGGUCAUACGUAGGGGGCAAGCGUUAUCCGGAUUUAAGGGGGGAAAAGGGAGCGGAGAGGGCAGUGCAAGUCUGGAGUGAAAGGCGGGGGCUCAACCCCCGGACUGCUCUGGCAACUGUACUGCUGGAGGGCAGGAGAGGUACGUGGAAUUCCUUGUGUAGCGGUUAAAUGCGUAGAUAUUUGGCGGAACCCCAGUGGCGAAGGCGGCUUACUGGACUGUAACUGACGUUGAUGCUCGAAAGCGUGGGGAUCAAACAGGAUUAGAUACCCGUGUAGUC
This 440-nucleotide ribosomal RNA is filed under the name uncultured bacterium. Its description in RNAcentral is "partial 16S ribosomal RNA". It matches the Rfam family "Bacterial small subunit ribosomal RNA", at positions 338 to 795 of the family's 1533-position model. The record is from RNAcentral.